AGUGAACGCUGGCGGUAGGCCUAACACAUGCAAGUCGAACGGCAGCACAGUAAGAGCUUGCUCUUACGGGUGGCGAGUGGCGGACGGGUGAGGAAUACAUCGGAAUCUACUUUUUCGUGGGGGAUAACGUAGGGAAACUUACGCUAAUACCGCAUACGACCUACGGGUGAAAGCAGGGGAUCUUCGGACCUUGCGCGAUUGAAUGAGCCGAUGUCGGAUUAGCUAGUUGGCGGGGUAAAGGCCCACCAAGGCGACGAUCCGUAGCUGGUCUGAGAGGAUGAGCAGCCACACUUGAACUGAGACACGGUCCAGACUCCUACGGGAGGCAGCAGUGGGGAAUAUUGGACAAUGGGCGAAAGCCUGAUCCAGCCAUACCGCGUGGGUGAAGAAGGCCUUCGGGUUGUAAAGCCCUUUUGUUGGGAAAGAAAAGCAGCAGGUUAAUACCCCGCUGUUCUGACGGUACCCAAAGAAUAAGCACCGGCUAACUUCGUG
RNAcentral lists this ribosomal RNA (492 nucleotides) under uncultured bacterium. RNAcentral describes it as "partial 16S ribosomal RNA". It matches the Rfam family "Bacterial small subunit ribosomal RNA", at positions 29 to 507 of the family's 1533-position model. The record is from RNAcentral.